CUUGGCGACCAUAGCGCUUUGGACCCACCUGACUCCAUGCCGAACUCAGUAGUGAAAGGAAGCAGCGCCGAUGGUAGUGUGGGGCCUCCCCAUGUGAGAGUAGGACAUCGCCAGGC
RNAcentral lists this ribosomal RNA (116 nucleotides) under Salinivibrio kushneri. The record is from RNAcentral. Lineage: Bacteria; Pseudomonadati; Pseudomonadota; Gammaproteobacteria; Vibrionales; Vibrionaceae.